RNAcentral lists this ribosomal RNA (339 nucleotides) under uncultured eukaryote. RNAcentral describes it as "SSU rRNA". It matches the Rfam family "Eukaryotic small subunit ribosomal RNA", at positions 623 to 956 of the family's 1831-position model. The record is from RNAcentral.
AUUACGUGUGUUAACGCUCGUAGUUGGAUUUCGGGUGGGUUCUAGCGGUCCGCCUUUUGGUGUGUACUGCUAUGGCUCACCUUUCUGACGGGGACCCGCUCUUGGGCUUAACUGUCCGGGACGGGGAAUCGUCGAGGUCACCGUGAGUAACUCGUAGUGUUCAAAGCAAGCAUUCGCUCUGAGCGCAUUAGCAUGGAAUGACAAUAUAGGACUCUGGCCUAUCUUGUUGGUCUGUAGGACUGGAGUAAUGAUUAAGAGGGACAGUCGGGGGCAUUCGUAUUUCAUUGUCAGAGGUGAAAUUCUUGGAUUUAUGAAAGACGAACUACUGCGAAAGCAUUU